GUGACUGCUCAGUGCAUAUGCUAAAACCGGAACAAUACAGAGAAGAUUAGCAUGACCCUGACAAAAGUUGACGUGUAAAUCCGUGAAGCAUUCCAUAUUUUU
Molecule: small nuclear RNA, 102 nt
Organism: Cervus hanglu yarkandensis (Yarkand deer)
Lineage: Eukaryota; Metazoa; Chordata; Mammalia; Artiodactyla; Cervidae
Source: Ensembl